RNAcentral lists this ribosomal RNA (372 nucleotides) under Terebellides europaea. RNAcentral describes it as "Terebellides sp. e GD-2019 partial large subunit ribosomal RNA". It matches the Rfam family "Bacterial large subunit ribosomal RNA", at positions 1994 to 2568 of the family's 2925-position model. Lineage: Eukaryota; Metazoa; Annelida; Polychaeta; Terebellida; Trichobranchidae. The record is from RNAcentral.
GAAUGGAUAAACGAAGGCUUAACUGUCUCAACUAUAGAAAUAAAAAUUGGCCUUUAGGUGAAAAGACCUAAAUGAAAUUAGAGGACAAAAAGACCCCGUAGAGCUUAGUAUUUCAACAACUUCACUUUUUAUAUUUGUUCUAUAAAAAACACUUUUGUCAAAAAUAUUUGGCUGGGGCGGCUAUGGAGCAAAAAACCUCCACAAACAACUUAAGAUUUACUUAUCUCUAUUAUAAAUGAUCCUUUUUUAGAUCAAAGAAAACAGCUACCUCGGGGAUAACAGAUUAAUCCCUUUUGAGAGUUCACAUUGACAAAGGAUUUUGAUACCUCGAUGUUGGCUUAAGGUCCCCGGAGGGUCAGCAGCAGCCCUCUA